UUAAAUGAUGGUGGAAAUUACACAUGUAAAGCACAAAGUUAUAAUGAUCCACGUUUUAAAGAUGAAAAAUCUGUUGAAGUGACAGUGAAAGCUGCUUAUCCACCACAACAAACCAAUAUUACCAUCAGUCCAAUGUCAG
Molecule: long non-coding RNA, 139 nt
Organism: Xenia sp. Carnegie-2017
Lineage: Eukaryota; Metazoa; Cnidaria; Anthozoa; Malacalcyonacea; Xeniidae
Exons: 2
Source: RefSeq, a predicted model, not a curated record